AAAGAAAAAAGUACAAAACAAUUUUCCUGAAAUUUAGGUUAUUAUAAAAAUAAGAAGAUGUGGUUUGAUUGUCAAUAACACAAUUCUCAACUAGAGACCAAAUGACAAAGAAGUUAAGAACUAUAGGUCACCGUACGGCCUUCAACAAAACUCAUAUGGCAUAGUUAGCUAUAAAAGGCCCAAAAAUGACAAAUGCAAAACAAUUCAAACGAGAAAACUGACAGCCUGAUUUUUUUUCAAAACAAGAAACGAAAAACAAAUACAUAUAUGAUAUACAGUAAAAACAACAACCACUGAAUUAUAGGCUCCUGACUUGUCUAGAUUCUGGUAUACAACAAAUGUCCCAUAUGAGAGGCAUAGGGGUGCAUUAAACUUCAGAUGGUAAAGUAGCUGGAUAAUUGAUUUCUAAUUAUAUACAGAUGCUUUUGAUCAGAAGUUACUGUGUGUCAUAUGUCCUUUGUCAUUAACCUCAUUUUCAUGGUUAAAGCUCAC
RNAcentral lists this long non-coding RNA (492 nucleotides) under Mytilus galloprovincialis (Mediterranean mussel). The record is from RNAcentral. Lineage: Eukaryota; Metazoa; Mollusca; Bivalvia; Mytilida; Mytilidae.